Molecule: long non-coding RNA, 289 nt
Filed under: Homo sapiens (human)
Lineage: Eukaryota; Metazoa; Chordata; Mammalia; Primates; Hominidae
Description: HSALNT0124114
Source: RNAcentral
UUCAGGCCAAUUCACAGACAAUCUCCCAUGACGGUAUAAUUUUUUUAAUGCAGCGUCUAAUAUUGAUUUGUGAAGCACUUUGAUGACUGGAGACAAGAGGAGCAAUCUCCUUCCUAUUUGAUGCUGCUAUCUACUGUCACUCAAACUUUCUUGAUCUUCUAGAACCAUUCAUUCCAUUUGAACAGCAAGAAAAGUGAUAUUAGCAGUAAGACUUGAAGACAGUCCUCUAACUCUUGAAGAUUUUGUUGGGAAGUUGACUGAACAUCCUGUCUGGCUUCUGAGGCAUUAG